CACGUAGGGCGCGAGCGUUGUCCGGAAUUACUGGGCGUAAAGCGCGCGCAGGCGGUCUUCCAAGUCAGUGGUGAAAGCCCGGAGCUCAACUCCGGAACUGCCAUUGAAACUGUGAGACUAGAGUACGAGAGAGGUGAGUGGAAUUCCCAGUGUAGAGGUGAAAUUCGUAGAUAUUGGGGAAGAACACCGGUGGCGAAGGCGGCUCACUGGCUCGUUACUGACGCUCAGGCGCGACAGCGUGGGGGAUCAAAACAGG
This 256-nucleotide ribosomal RNA is filed under the name uncultured bacterium. RNAcentral describes it as "partial 16S ribosomal RNA". It matches the Rfam family "Bacterial small subunit ribosomal RNA", at positions 524 to 776 of the family's 1533-position model. The record is from RNAcentral.